GCAUCGGUCACAUCUGGGGCCCUGCACAUAGUCUUUACAGCGGCACUGUCCGGCGAUGAGCCCCAGAGCCGGGUCGUCCUGAGUAUCGCAGAGUCCACCGUCCAGAGAGCCAUCCGGGUCACAGUCGCAGGCUGCCGGGCAUUGCUGCUGCGCCCUUCGGCCGGCCUCCAGGGAACGUCGUUGAAGAAGCUGUCGCACUGGUCGCAGUUCAGCCCCUUGGUGUUGUGCUUACAGACGCAUCUCCCGUGGACCUGAGGAGUGGAAAAGAUUUCCCAAGCGAUUCAUGAUGAACAUCUCCUUCUCCUCCACUGCGGCCAUUUUGUUCUUGGACUGAAAGCAGAAACAUGUAACGCAUCACUAUACCAUAUGGCGUCAUGCGUUUUAGGCAGAAGA
Bufo bufo (common toad) is the source of this 393-nucleotide long non-coding RNA. RefSeq lists it as uncharacterized. Lineage: Eukaryota; Metazoa; Chordata; Amphibia; Anura; Bufonidae. The transcript is spliced from 3 exons. The record is from RefSeq and is a predicted model, not a curated record.